This is a long non-coding RNA of Hordeum vulgare subsp. vulgare (domesticated barley), 342 nucleotides long. RefSeq lists it as uncharacterized. The transcript has 3 exons. The record is from RefSeq and is a predicted model, not a curated record. Lineage: Eukaryota; Viridiplantae; Streptophyta; Magnoliopsida; Poales; Poaceae.
UUGAUAUGGUAUUUGGUUCGCAACACAUGCCAGUGGAAUGCGUGAGAGAUAGUGCCUUUUGGAUGACUCGCUGCAAUUUACUCUAUCUAUGGUUUGUGGAACCGUAUAAUCCUGACCGUGUCAUGAGACAGUUCGGUCUAUAUCAAGAUAUUCCACCACCGGUUCCAAGAUGUAUCGACGAAGAAACUCAUAAGAUGAGCAAUAUGGGCAGAUCUGGUGUGGACUGGAAUGCAGAAAACAUUGAAUGGAUAAAUCAGUGGAAUAAUGAAGCUCUACAAAAUAUAGUGCCUCAGCAACGAACGUACGAUGCAACUACGACAGAAGCGUACUAUAAUUGGUAUC